GAUGAACGCUAGCGGCAGGCCUAAUACAUGCAAGUCAAGGGGCCAGCAAUGGCACCGGCGCACGGGUGCGUAACACGUACACAACAUACCUUUAAGUGGGAGAUAGCAUCGGGAAACUGGUGGUAAUACCCCAUAAUAUUGCGAUGCGGCAUCACAUUGCAAUUAAAGUUUCGACGCUUAAAAGAUUGGUGUGCGUCCGAUUAGCUAGUUGGCGGGGUAACGCCCACCAAGGCUACGAUCGGUAGGGGGUNUGAGAGCAUGACCCCCCCANAUGGGUACUGAGAUACGGACCCAACUCCUACGGGAGGCAGCAGUAAGGAAUAUUGGACAAUGGACGAAAGUCUGAUCCAGCCAU
This 355-nucleotide ribosomal RNA is filed under the name uncultured bacterium. RNAcentral's name for it is "bacterial SSU rRNA". It matches the Rfam family "Bacterial small subunit ribosomal RNA", at positions 28 to 395 of the family's 1533-position model. The record is from RNAcentral.